This 90-nucleotide small RNA is filed under the name Kaistella antarctica. RNAcentral's name for it is "Chryseobacterium antarcticum Flavo-1 RNA". It matches the Rfam family "Flavo-1 RNA". Lineage: Bacteria; Pseudomonadati; Bacteroidota; Flavobacteriia; Flavobacteriales; Weeksellaceae. The record is from RNAcentral.
CUGCGCCCCGGAUAGCAAUGGAAAUCCUUUUUUUUUUGGAAGGAUUUAGCCAAGGCAAAAAAAAGAUUGCAAUGGAUAGCCGGAAAUCGA